UGGGGAAUCUUGCACAAUGGAGGAAACUNUGAUGCAGCGAUGCCGCGUGAGUGAAGAAGGCCUUUGGGUUGUAAAGCUCUUUCGUCGGGGAAGAAAAUGACUGUACCCGAAUAAGAAGGUCCGGCUAACUUCGUGCCAGCAGCCGCGGUAAUACGAAGGGACCUAGCGUAGUUCGGAAUUACUGGGCUUAAAGAGUUCGUAGGUGGUUGAAAAAGUUGGUGGUGAAAUCCCAGAGCUUAACUCUGGAACUGCCAUCAAAACUUUUCAGCUAGAGUAUGAUAGAGGAAAGCAGAAUUUCUAGUGUAGAGGUGAAAUUCGUAGAUAUUAGAAAGAAUACCAAUUGCGAAGGCAGCUUUCUGGAUCAUUACUGACACUGAGGAACGAAAGCAUGGGUAGCGAAGAGGAUUAGAUACCCUCGUAGUCCAUGCCGUAAACGAUGUGUGUUAGACGUUGGAAAUUUAUUUUCAGUGUCGCAGCGAAAGCGAUAAACACACCGCCUG
Molecule: ribosomal RNA, 500 nt
Filed under: uncultured bacterium
Lineage: Bacteria
Description: bacterial SSU rRNA
Rfam family: Bacterial small subunit ribosomal RNA
Source: RNAcentral